Molecule: ribosomal RNA, 468 nt
Filed under: uncultured bacterium
Lineage: Bacteria
Description: partial 16S ribosomal RNA
Rfam family: Bacterial small subunit ribosomal RNA
Source: RNAcentral
GACGAACGCUGGCGGCGUGCUUAACACAUGCAAGUCGAACGGAAAGGCCCUGCUGUUGUGGGGUGCUCGAGUGGCGAACGGGUGAGUAACACGUGAGUAACCUGCCCUGGACUUUGGGAUAACUUCAGGAAACUGGGGCUAAUACCGGAUAGGAGCUCCUGCUGCAUGGUGGGGGUGGGAAAGUUUCGGCGGUUGGGGAUGGACUCGCGGCUUAUCAGCUUGUUGGUGGGGUAGUGGCUUACCAAGGCUUUGACGGGUAGCCGGCCUGAGAGGGUGACCGGCCACAUUGGGACUGAGAUACGGACCAGACUCCUACGGGAGGCAGCAGUGGGAAAUAUUGCACAAUGGGCGGAAGCCUGAUGCAGCAACGCCGCGUGCGGGAUGACGGCCUUCGGGUUGUAAACCGCUUUCGCCUGUGACGAAGCGUGAGUGACGGUAAUGGGUAAAGAAGCACCGGCUAACUACGUG